GCUGGAGUGUGCUUAAAUACACUGCUGAGUGAGGAUGAGGAGCAACACUCACUGUCAGACAAAUAAAGGCAUCAGUAAGCCCAGUGAGCGAGGAAACCCAUUUCCACCAGUUAAAGAACUUGUCAGGGUCUCCUCCCUGCUGUGUGCUCCAGAGCCGCGAGGCUGCAGAUGACAGAGGGAUCAUUCUGUUCUCCUGCUCUGUGCUGAUCAUCACCUGAGCCAGCUGGCCGUGCUGUCGACGCAGAUGUGCUGGGACUCCUCCAGCUAUCCAGGAGGCCACGUAGGAAUCCCCCUGGCAGCGAACACCUCAGGCACGUAACAAUGGCUCACUGUGCAAGGAAAAGAGCGACUGCCCCUCCUCGGCUGGGUUAGAGGAGGGCUGUGGGUGUGGGCACAAGAUCGCAG
Long non-coding RNA from Acanthopagrus latus (yellowfin seabream), 405 nucleotides. RefSeq lists it as uncharacterized. The transcript has 3 exons. The record is from RefSeq and is a predicted model, not a curated record. NCBI's taxonomy places the organism in Eukaryota, Metazoa, Chordata, Actinopteri, Spariformes, Sparidae.